GAGAAAAUUUGGUGGAUUUCAAGUAAUCAAGCAAUCAAAGGUGGUGAGCAUUCUGGAAAAAGUAAUGAAAUAGUACCUGACGAUAAAAAAUCGGAGUACUCGAAAUUCGACUCCUGAAAUAGCUCAUGAUAGUUGGCAGCUAGCUCACUUUGUUGAGGGCUACAGUUGGACUUACAUCCUCAAAAACUGUAGGUUUACCGCUUUUGA
Molecule: non-coding RNA, 207 nt
Organism: Theobroma cacao (cacao)
Lineage: Eukaryota; Viridiplantae; Streptophyta; Magnoliopsida; Malvales; Malvaceae
Source: RefSeq, a predicted model, not a curated record